Molecule: long non-coding RNA, 820 nt
Filed under: Gossypium barbadense (sea-island cotton)
Lineage: Eukaryota; Viridiplantae; Streptophyta; Magnoliopsida; Malvales; Malvaceae
Description: long non-coding RNA (GBAR_LNC002984)
Source: RNAcentral
CAGCCCAAAUUUGCCCGGGCCCAUGAUAAAACUAUAAAUAAUAAAUAAUAAAUAAAUUCAAAUAGUCCUCUACAAUAAACAGGCCUCAAGGCCUGGUAAACCCAAAUGUCUUGACCCAACUACCAAAAGUCCUACCCAUAACCCAGCUAAACUACCCAAUAGCCCGUUUACGCCCACAAACAGGUACGACCCAAAUGGCCCAACUUGUUAACAGAUGAGGGAAGACCUAGGGUUUCUGGAACCCUAGGUGCCACAAAUGGAAAGAUCCAUAAGCUAAACUAAACGUCACGUCCUUUCAAUUCUCGUUGUUCCAGCUGAUCACCAUCAAGGCCACCAUUCCAGGUUCCAAUUCACGCCGUGAUCAAUGCCACCGGUCGAUCUAUGUCACCAGCAUGAUCAUCACAUAAUUUUCCUCGAACACCUGCAAAAAGAGAAAGAAAAGCAGUAGAAACGAAACAAAUAUGGAAAGAAAUCUUCAAUUUCUUUCCCAAAAAUGUAAUAGAAACAGUGGCUAUAAAAAGCCCCUUUGUAACCUAUAAACGAUACGCAUACGAGAAAAAAAAUAAAAGGAAGCAAAAACAAACAGUUUUUUUAAGAGGUGAAUCUCCUAUUUUAUUUUAUUUUUUCGUGUUCAAAGCAUAUAUACAUAUACAAACAGUUAGAUAAAUAGUUUUAAAACGCGAAAAAGGGUUUUACCUUUUGCUUUUGCAUAAAAAAUUGAGGUUUCUAACCUCCGAGGGUCGCGCAGGGCAGUGUUGAAGGUGGCGCGUAAGCGUGUGGGUGCGUGUGUGUCCGGUGACCAGAGCUUGGCCUGACAAAG